GUGAGGAAUAUUGGACAAUGGAUGGAAAUCUGAUCCAGCCAUGCCGCGUGCAGGAAGACGGCCCUAUGGGUUGUAAACUGCUUUUAUACGGGAGCAAUAAGGUCUAUGCAUAGAUUGAUGAGAGUACCGUAUGAAUAAGCAUCGGCUAACUCCGUGCCAGCAGCCGCGGUAAUACGGAGGAUGCGAGCGUUAUCCGGAUUUAUUGGGUUUAAAGGGUGCGUAGGCGGCUUUGUAAGUUAGCGGUGAAAUUUUGCAGCUUAACUGUAAAAGCGCCGUUGAUACUGUGAAGCUAGGAUUUGGUUGCUGUGGGCGGAAUGUGUGGUGUAGCGGUGAAAUGCAUAGAGAUCACACAGAAUAUCGAUUGCGAAGGCAGCUCACAAAGCCAAUAUUGACGCUGAGGCACGAAAGUGUGGGGAUCAAACAGGAUUAGAUACCCCAGUAGUCC
Molecule: ribosomal RNA, 445 nt
Filed under: uncultured bacterium
Lineage: Bacteria
Description: partial 16S ribosomal RNA
Rfam family: Bacterial small subunit ribosomal RNA
Source: RNAcentral